UACGUAGGGGGCAAGCGUUGUCCGGAAUCAUUGGGCGUAAAGAGCGUGUAGGCGGCCUGGUAAGUCCGCUGUGAAAGUCCAGGGCUCAACCCUGGAAUGCCGGUGGAAACUGUCAGGCUCGAGUCCGGAAGAGGCGAGUGGAAUUCCUGGUGUAGCGGUGAAAUGCGCAGAUAUCGGGAGGAACACCAGUGGCGAAGGCGACUUCCUGGCCUGUUCUUGACGCUGAGGCGCGAAAGCUAGGGGAGCAAACGGG
This 253-nucleotide ribosomal RNA is filed under the name uncultured bacterium. Its description in RNAcentral is "partial 16S ribosomal RNA". It matches the Rfam family "Bacterial small subunit ribosomal RNA", at positions 524 to 776 of the family's 1533-position model. The record is from RNAcentral.